RNAcentral lists this long non-coding RNA (2020 nucleotides) under Theobroma cacao (cacao). Its description in RNAcentral is "long non-coding RNA (TCAC_LNC004938)". Lineage: Eukaryota; Viridiplantae; Streptophyta; Magnoliopsida; Malvales; Malvaceae. The record is from RNAcentral.
GGGUGUCUAAACAUUUAUUAAAAAUGAUAUUGCAACUAUUUGAAUAAAAUAAAAAUAUUCAAUAAAAUAUUCUAAUUUCUUGUAAAACAAUAUUUAUAGAAUCAUCGGUAAAUAAUUUUUAUAAUGUAAAAGCUAAAUAAAUUCAUACGUACUAUAAUAUAGAUAACCGAGAUAUGAAAUUUACUGUACAGUGACUCGUGGGCCCACAAGGAGAAAAAGUGCACAAAGGCAGCAAAUCUACAGUUUUUGGAGUAGUAAAGCCGACUAUAAUCCCUAAUGAUAUAUGCUAUCCACAAGCUACCUCGAGCCUGAAAUGGUUAAAAAGGAAGGUGGUGAGAUUAUAAAAUCCCAGUGAGUAAACAGAUACCAUCUAAACCAUCUAAAAUCGAGUAAAUGGAGACAGAUAAAAUAAUUUGGCAUACUAAAAUUCAUCACCUUUCAACUUGUUUCAAUUAAAUUAAUUCAUAUAAAUAGAACAAUUUACAUGGCUUAUGAAUUUCUUAAAACUUGGCUCAUGCCAAAAAUUAUUCUCAUACUUAGUUAUCAAGGAUACCUUGGCCGAGGACUAUCCCAAACUGAGUCCGCCAAGGCUAUUAAAAAGCUAUAUACUCAUAAAUCAUGUUUUUAUUUAGAAAAUAUAGUUGUUCCUUGGCGUUGGCUGAGUUCGCCCUCACGUGGUGGUUUGCCGUGAAGUGAACUCUAAAAGUUAUACCUCGAGAGUUACCCUACUCGCCUCUCCAACUGAGGUAAAAUAUGUCAGGAUUCUGUGCCCCUCUAAUAGGCUAGUCCACACAACCCAGCCCACUGCAGCAAGCAAUACCCACCAUACAAUAAAAUUUUUGACAGCAUGACAAGGUUAAUUUAAUACUACCCAGCCUGCAAAUAUAAAAUAGAACAAUUCAUACAGUUCACCAAAAACACAACCCAGCCAGUCAUGCCAACACAUUAACAUAAGUCAUCAAUUCAGAUCAUAAAUUUACAACACAUCAGGGGUCUCCAAUUACUCUAUUUUCAAAAUCAUCAUUCAAUUUCAAGACAAUUUAUAAAAUCUUUUCAUUUAAACACAUUUUGUUUAUAAACAUAAAGGUUUACCAUUUAAACCCAUUUUUCAUAAAAUCAUAAAAUCGGAUAAACACCACUUUAGAUAAUUAAGACGAUAGUAAGGUUACUCACUAUACUAGGAGUUAGAUAUACUCCUAUUUUCGAGUCUUCGGGCACAAUCUCUUUACCCUUAUUAGAGGGCUCACCACUUAUACAUCAUACGUGACACGAAUUUCAAUAAAUUGUGUCAAUUUAUCAUAAACUAUUUUGGGCUCUAUAAAUCUAUAUGAAUGCACGAAAUGUGAUACAAAAUGUCCAAAUAGCCGUUUAAAUACGGUAUUCGACCUAAUUCGCACUAUUCUCAAUGUAAUUGGCUAAAACCUCCAAUUUAACUCCAAAUCAAUUUCUUUCACUUUCUACACUCCAAUUGUACUUAAAAUACCUCAAUGACUGUGAAUAUGAUUCAAUUUAUCAGUCAGAACCAUAAAUCGCACAUGUCUAUACAUUAGGUAAAAAUUCAUAUUUUCAUGCCAAAGUUUCCCAUUAAAUUUCUAGCCUCACCAAUCAUUAAAUACCACCAAAAUAUCAUGAAAUAUUAUCAAUUUCAGCCUUAAUAUCCUCCCUAGAAAAUUCGGCCUCUUAUGGGUAAUGGGAGAAAAUGAAUUUUUCUUGUUGGCUUUUCUUGCUACAUAUCACUAACUAACUAAAAACACUAGAAUAUCUUAAAAUCUAACCAAAACAUCAUCAAAUUCUCUCUCCUAGGUGUUCGGGCAGCAAGAGGUUCAUCAUAAAAACUUGAUUUCUAAGCAUGGAAAAUGGAAAAGAAAGCAUGGGUAGUGUAAAUCACAAGUCAAAAUCAAGAAAUUUUACCUUUAUUAGCUUAAUCCCUUGAAAUCCCAUACUUUUUCUUCAAUUUUUCCACCUAAGAUUUGUGUUCUUUCCUUUCCUCUUCACUUCAUGCUUUGGCCGGCCAUAUGGG